RNAcentral lists this ribosomal RNA (867 nucleotides) under Triticum aestivum (bread wheat). RNAcentral describes it as "partial small subunit ribosomal RNA". Lineage: Eukaryota; Viridiplantae; Streptophyta; Magnoliopsida; Poales; Poaceae. The record is from RNAcentral.
AUGUUUGACAACGACCUGGUGGUGAUGGAGGAGUUUGUAUCGAGGAAGCGGAUUGAAGACUAUGAGUUCAAGGAUAUACCUAUUUGGAUUAGGGUUUAUGGGUUACCAUUGGGAGACAUGGAUGAAGAUACUGGGGAGAUGAUCAGAAAUAUGGUGGGAGAGUUCGUAGAAGCUGACACUAGAGCGGAUGGAAGGGCCAUUGGGAAAUAUCUCAGAGUGAAGGUACGCCUCCAAAUUGGGAAGCCAUUGAUGAGGGGUUUUAGGCUCGAUACAAGACAGGGAGAUGAAGGAAGUGAGGAGGAAGAUAAUCGGGUAGAGGCGGGAGAGAGGCCGGUGAAGAGCAAGGAUGAGGAGGAGAAGGACCCUUGGUGCCGGUUUGAAUAUGAGUACCUACCAGAUUUUUGUUACAUCUGCGGUAAGCUGGGCCAUCUCGAACGGGACUGUUCAAUCAAGCUAAAGAAAGGAGAGAGGGCACAGUUUGGUAGGUGGAUGAAGGCGGACACGGGCAUAAGGAGAGGAGGGGUGCCGGAUGGGACAUGGCGGAGCUCUAUGCGUGGUAGCAGUGGGAGUCAGGCAUAUGGUUUUGGGCGGUCUGGUGUUCAGUCAGGCAGCGACAACCUAUCAUGGAGGAAGGAUGGGAGCAGGUCAGGAGGAGGGAGCGGAGUGGAGAAGGGUCCGGAGGUGAAUAGCCCGACUAAGGCAAAAAUGGCUGGGGGUAAGGAGGGCACCGUUAGGAAGAUCACUGUCAGCGACAAAGCUACGAAUGUGCAGGAGGGGGAGGCAACACCUAAGGAGAUGGAGCUCCAGGAGAAUGGUGCGAUGAAGGAGGCGGAUGGGGUAUGGAGGUUGAUGCGCUGGGUAGUUUAG